RNAcentral lists this long non-coding RNA (1070 nucleotides) under Equus asinus (donkey). Its description in RNAcentral is "lncRNA (ENSEASG00005036731.1)". The record is from RNAcentral. Lineage: Eukaryota; Metazoa; Chordata; Mammalia; Perissodactyla; Equidae.
GCGGGGCGCAGCGGGCCGCGGGGUUCCGGGCGCGCUCCCCGCACUACUCCAGUGCCAUGGUGCGCCCGCGGAGCCGCUCGGUUUAGAGCUGGGGCUGGCGGCGGAGGGAUACUGCGCCCGGGAGCCGCCUCACCCCUCCUCAAACUUCCUGACAUUUGAACUCAUUGGUGCGCCUCGUAUCCCUGCGCCGGGAUGAGCCGGCGGCUCCACGUCAAAUAGUGCCGUCGCCGCCCCCCCGCGCGGGAGGGCUCCCCGCGCCCCCAGCCUGCGCCCCGCGCCGCGCCUGGCCCCGCGCGCCGGUCCGGGCGUCCCGGCCAGGCCGAGCGCCCUGCUGGCCCCUCGCAGAAGUAUUUUGUAAAGCUUCGGCGGUAAGAGGAGUGGCCCCGAGCGAGACCAGACUGCGCGGACGGCGGCGAGCACAGCGGCUCCACCAGGAGACGGCGCCGGCCGUGAGCGGCCGCCCGGGGACCCCGACUGUCGGCCGAGGCUGAAAGGGGGUCCCUGUGGCCAGACUUCCUAAGCUUCUCUGACCUCUGGCUGGCGUCCAGAGCCAAGUUGGGGCCGUGGACUGUGCCCCAAACUCGGACUGCCCAAAGGCUGCGUCUCAGCGUAGGAGGACGUGCCCAGGGCGGGCUUGGGUGCCAUGGCUGGUCUGUCCUGGGGUGCACAGGAUCUUGGCACGUCUCCCCGUGCUCCUGCCUGCGUCACAGCCCACACCACCAGGGCCCACAUCGGGAGAGCCAAGGGUGGUGCUCAGAGCCGCUGGUGGCUGCCGACAUGCUGGGCCCAACCCAGGUGCGGGUCUGGGAGUGGGGCUGUUCAGUCUACAAACCUGAGGUCCCCUCUCCAGGUCCUCCCCGCUCACUGUCCAUUCGUCCCUGUCCUCCUGAUCACCGUAUAGGUCCUGUUCCUUGCCCUUUGUCCCCCUUCCUCGGGUCCCUCGGUGAUCCCGGCUCCUUCGCAUACAGACACACAGAGGCCCCAGGUCUCUCCCCAGCACAACCGCAGGAGCUGAACUGCUGAAGAAGUGGCCGCCUGGACCGAAGGCGGGGGCCUAGACCCCGACUCAG